Molecule: ribosomal RNA, 518 nt
Filed under: Penicillium italicum
Lineage: Eukaryota; Fungi; Ascomycota; Eurotiomycetes; Eurotiales; Aspergillaceae
Description: eukaryotic LSU rRNA
Rfam family: 5.8S ribosomal RNA (bases 193-347)
Source: RNAcentral
GCGCAAGGAUCAUUACCGAGUGAGGGACCCUCUGGGUCCAACCUCCCACCCGUGUUUAUUUACCACGUUGCUUCGGCGGGCCCGCAUUAACUGGCCGCCGGGGGGCUCACGCCCCCGGGCCCGCGCCCGCCGAAGACACCCCCGAACUCUGCCUGAAGAUUGUCGUCUGAGUGACAAAUAUAAAUUAUUUAAAACUUUCAACAACGGAUCUCUUGGUUCCGGCAUCGAUGAAGAACGCAGCGGAAAUGCGAUACGUAAUGUGAAUUGCAAAUUCAGUGAAUCAUCGAGUCUUUGAACGCACAUUGCGGCCCCCUGGUAUUCCGGGGGGCAUGCCUGUCCGAGCGUCAUUGCUGCCCUCAAGCCCGGCUUGUGUGUUGGGCCCCGUCCUCCGAUUCCGGGGGACGGGCCCGAAAGGCAGCGGCGGCACCGCGUCCGGUCCUCGAGCGUAUGGGGCUUUUGUCACCCGCUCUGUAGGCCCGGCCGGCGCUUGCCGAUCAACCCAAAUUUUUUAUCCAGGU